Molecule: long non-coding RNA, 309 nt
Organism: Bos taurus (domestic cattle)
Lineage: Eukaryota; Metazoa; Chordata; Mammalia; Artiodactyla; Bovidae
Source: Ensembl
CUGACCUGAAACCCAAGCCCUGCCAAGCCCAGGCAGGCGACAGCUCAUCCACAAAUUCGUGAGUGAGAAAGAAAUGCUUGCUUCUUUAGGCGCCGGAAGGCUGUGUUUUAUGCUUUGUCAUUGCAGCCAAACGUAAAACACCUGCGCGAGGAACAGUGUCCCACCAAGUGCCAGGAGCACUCUCCCCUUGCUGCUCUGAAAACGCUGGACAUGGUACAUGAACAGGAAGCAGACUUAAUCCAGGACGAUGCGGAGGCAGCUGAGAAGCAUGGGAGAAAGUGUCUCUAUUAAGAAGGUCGGCGCCACCCC